GAAUGAUCAGAGUCCGCCCAAUGCCAUUGAGAGCAGGAAUCAGAAAUAUGGUAGGCAGACAGGGUGGGAACCUUGAUUGCAACAAUUCCAUGUACAAAGUGUCUGAUGAGCCAUACAACAUGUGACCAAGCAUAUAAUCAACAUUAUGGUUGGGCAGGAGGCACAUGAUCACUGAGUGUCUCACUCUGAUUAGACAAAGAAACUCCCCUCUCUAAAAGUCAUUAGCCAAUAGCUUUAAAGGUCACCCCCAGCAACACCAUAUAAACCCAUAGACAGCAGCAGUUCUGCUGCAACCCACUCAGGACUCUUCUCCUGUGGGAGCUCACUUUCCUUUCUGUUUCAAAAAUAAAUGGUUACUUUGUUCUACCCCUCUGUUGUCCAUGGGUCUUAUUCUUCAUAUCCCUGAGACAAAGAACUCACACCUUUCCACAUCUCACUAUCAAUAAGAUGGAAACACCAAGGUCAGGGUCAGAGACAGAGAUAAGAUGAUGAAAGCAGAAAGAGAGACAGGGACAGAGGCUAUGCUGUAGACAUUGAGCAAUAAGAAAGGGGCCAUGAGCCAAGGAAUGUAGGCAGCCUCUAGAUUCUGGAAAAGGCUAGGAAACUGACUCUCUGGAGCUUCCAGAAGGAACACUUCUUGACUUCAGGAUUUUUUUCUUCCUUUCUUGCUCCUUCUCUUUUUCUGUAGUGCUACGUGUAGAACCCAGAGCCUUGCGUGCACUAGGCCAGGUGCUCUACCACUGAGCUACACACUAGGCCAAUUGUAGGACUCUCGGCCAUUAGAGUGCUACUUCAAUAAAUUUGUGUUGUUAUGAGCUACUGAGUGUGUGGUCAUUUAUUACAACAGCAACUACACAGGGACUCAAACCCAGACAGUUGACUCUAGUGCCAUCAUUCUUAAUAACCUUUAAAUAACCAUAAGCCUACCUCUAAAGUUGUGUUUUGUUACAGAUAAGCCCCACCAGAGACACUUACAAGGCAACCUAGCCGUGAACUCUGUACCAACUAACCUUGCUUCCUGCCCCACCCCUCUAGGUGACCUAGAUGUGAACUUUGCUCAUUAUAAUACUAUAUUCUCCACCAAGGGGCAUUUCUAACUGCUUUUUUUUUUUUUUUUUGAACAUGUGAUGCUUAGGAAGGCAGGAUGGUGAACUGGGGAUGCUCAAGAACGUGCUUGCCUCUACAUGUGAUGAUGAAUCCAUCCCAUGUGAAUAUGUUUGUGUUUCUCAAAUAAAAACCCCUUGCUUUGUUUGCUGGGGACACACUGCUUCCAGAAUGAUCCCCAGUGCUCUCCUUACUUGGGGAAGCAAUAAACUUCUCUUUGCUCUCUUAUCUCCUGGUUGUGCUGAUGGGCUUUUCACUCACUGAGAGGCAAACCCACUGGAUUUGCUUGCAAAAGGCCAUCAGCAGAGUAAGGGAAGGAGAGGUAGUGUUCCUGCAGGUUGAUGUGGGAGUUAUGUGGCAUUAACCUGAAUAAACAGGGAAAGUGAAUAAACACAGGAAAAUGUUCAUGAUAUAGUGAGAAAAUUUUCAAUAUUGGAAAUAACUGCUCUUCCCUUUCUAUUUUCAGAAAUACAUGGGUAAGUGUGUUUAUUUUUAUAACCAUAUGUGCAUG
Molecule: long non-coding RNA, 1615 nt
Filed under: Marmota monax (woodchuck)
Lineage: Eukaryota; Metazoa; Chordata; Mammalia; Rodentia; Sciuridae
Source: RNAcentral